Molecule: long non-coding RNA, 1416 nt
Filed under: Papio anubis (olive baboon)
Lineage: Eukaryota; Metazoa; Chordata; Mammalia; Primates; Cercopithecidae
Description: lncRNA (ENSPANG00000045457.1)
Source: RNAcentral
GAACGUCUAAGAGAAAGUUAUUACUAUAAAAGACCAAUAAGUGACGAGAUUAGUUUACUUUCUGAUUCAUUAAUCCAAAAAUAUUGAUUAGCAUAUAUAGGUCAGGAGUUAAUACCAUAUUCUAGGAGCUGGUAUCAAAGAAAACACAGCUGGACAUUAGUUAAAUCAAUAAAAACAGAUUUUAUUCACUUACUACUGACAGUAGGGGAAAGAGCUGCGCUCAUUCUGAUGUUUGCAGGUAACUGGGCAUUUUAAAGAAAGAAUGAGGGAAAGAGAGGGUAGGGAGUCCAGCAGAGCCAGGAAGUAAAAUUUACAAAGGAUUGGUCAGUGUAAACGCAAUUAGGCCAGCUUUUCUGCUAGCUGGCCAUUAUAGAAGAAAGGGUUCUAUUGUCCCAAAGAGACUGGGAUGCAGAGGCCUGUCCUCCUUGAUGAUUAAUUACAUUUCAAAUGAAUGGCUUUCAUGUCCUUAAAAAAGACACUUCUGAGUUAUAGGUGAUACAUACAUAGCUCAAAGGGACAGAGAAAGUAUUCAUAAAUGUAAGCUAUUUUUGGUAAUUGCCCUAAGGGAGGUCGGGGCCUAUCUCCUAUGUUGGCUAUAACAAGUAGUCUACGGCUACAACAAGCAGUCUAUCUAUUCUCCCGGCAGUGCUGAUCAUUUCUCAGGAAGGCUAUAUACCUUUAAGGCACAGUUCACGGUUCACCUGCCUUGGAUAUGAUUAUAGAAAAAUCAAAGCGCACUGCAGUUUGAGACGUGAUCUUCAUUCUUCUACUCACAAGAAAAAAAUUCUCAUGGAAGUGGUUUGCAAUACCUCUUGCAUGCCACAAAAAGGUAGACUGUUUUUUUUUUUUCUUCUUUUGAUAGUAAAUAUAUUGGACUUGUAGCAUGGAAAAGGGAUUACCUUUAUGUUGCUGCAUUCCUGAGAUGUGGGAGACUUUACUGCAGCCUGUGAUGAUACAAUAACGAAUAUACUAUCUUAGAGUUAAUAAAAUAAUAGCUAGUACUUUUAAAAAGAAAGCAUUCUCAUUCCAGGCCCAGUGCUAGAUUAUUUAUAUACCUCUGCCCCCUGAUGUUAAAUAAGCAAUAUUAACACAUUUAUGUGGAAUGGGAGCAUCUUUAUAACAACCAUGUGCAUUGCCUAGAUAAUUACACCAAUUUUACAGUGUUGGAAACUAAAACUCAUGAGAAUUCUGUGCAGUGCCCAAGGGUCCCCAGCUAAUGGUCUGUCUGACUUCAAAGUCGGUUCUCUUUUACGCUGCCAUCUUGCCCCCUGGCUCACCUCACACUUUUAAAGCAUCCUCUGACUUUGCCUUCAACUUGUGACAAGUUUUGACUUCUUUUAGAGUGAACAUUUCAAAGGAAAAUAAAUUGCUUGCACUGUGCCUCUGGGAAGUGACAAACUGUUACACUGAGAAUAG